This 329-nucleotide unclassified non-coding RNA is filed under the name uncultured fungus. Its description in RNAcentral is "partial contains 5.8S ribosomal RNA and internal transcribed spacer 2". The stretch from base 1 to 134 matches the Rfam family "5.8S ribosomal RNA", at positions 22 to 154 of the family's 154-position model. Lineage: Eukaryota; Fungi. The record is from RNAcentral.
UGGUUCUGGCAUCGAUGAAGAACGCAGCGAAAUGCGAUAAGUAAUGCGAAUUGCAGAAUUUCCGUGAGUCAUCGAAUCUUUGAACGCACAUUGCGCCCCUUGGUAUUCCGAGGGGCAUGCCUGUUCGAGCGUCAUUAUCACCCCUCAAGCCUGGCUUGGUGUUGGACCGCGUCCCGAGAGAGACCGGCCCUAAAGACAAUGACGGCGUCCGUGGGACCCUCCGUGCAAUGAGUCUUCUUAGGCACGCACGCGAUUUGGGCACUACGAGACCCGGCCUUUUUAACCAUUUUAUCAAGGUUGACCUCGGAUCAGGUAGGGAUACCCGCUGA